UAUAUUGCAAGAAAUAAAAGGGAAAUUUGAGUGAUACAACAUACUUAAUUUACUUCCAUGCAAUAUAUAGACAAUGUAGGCCCCAAAUCAUCGUACAUGUGUUCCAUGCUGUAUGUUGUUUAAUGGGGACUUUUCGCCUUUUAAUAGAAUGAAUACUGAAUAUAAUAGUUCUCUCUCUGUGUAUAAAUGAGUUCUUUCAAAGCGGAAUUUCUUUUUUUAUUCUUAUCCCCUCUAUUUAUUCGGAUGAUAAUAUCUAUACCGAGCACGGUUUCGUAGUUAAAUACAUACUAAAGUACAUCCGGUUUGAAUUCAUGUGUUCUCGGAUACUCGGGAAAGCCAACUGUUUUGAUUUUUUGGAACUUAUGACAAGGUAUAACCGUAUAAAUGAGAUAUUUUUGUUUCAAAACUAUGAAAAAGCAUCAUUAUUUUACAAAAAAGUGUCUUCAAUCGCAACUAUCCGAUUAUUCAUGAAUGAUAUCAUUAUCAGAACAGUUGAAAUAGAUUGUAGCUUAGCAUAACCCUAAAUCAUAUGCAUGAGGAUGAUAUGGAGGAAAACAUACAUUAAAAAAGUGGAUAUAGGCGAAAGACUGUCCACUUCGCUGAAGAUAAUAGAGGCAUUCAUCAAUGUCAUUACUAAUGACAAACAGGAGAAACGGAGACAGGAAAUGGAAAGACUGAUCUUCACAGACAGCAGUCAAAACAAAGCAAUAGAAAGCAUUCAAAACUGGAAAUAAGAUAGAAAACCGUGGAACAUCUAGACGAGUCAUGAACCCCAACAUCUAAAAAGAACUUGACGGAGUGCAUUCGGUUGGACAUAACUUCACCCGAGAAGACUGAUGACAAAGACUCAACAAAGAGGGUCAGGCUCCUAUUUUCCUGGGAAUCAACCAGACCAUGCAAAGGAAAAGAGGCACUGGACAAGGCAUAUAGACACAAGGUCCUGAAGACCGAAUCUGCCAGACGCCAGUUGGUAUUUGUAAGGGAUGGUAGAGAGGACACAACAACACCUCCUCCUGAGAAGUGUCCAGCUAGGGCCAUUUCCAGGGACUACUCCUCAUAGAGGUCAAACGAGGUUUCAGAUAUCAAGAGGAUACAAGAAAAAGAACUUUUUAAUUCUGUGGUUGUGUAUUUCCAGAUGUAAAUAUUUAUAGUUGUUUUGGUUUUUUUUAUAAUGUACAUGUAAUAAACAUUUCAGGGUAUAUAGUUUUUGCACUGUUGGUCUGUCUGUCUGCAAAAAUGUAAACCAGGCCUAAAGCUUUUGAGUGGAUGGGGCGACUGCUUUCACAUUUCACAGAUGUACUCUAAGAUUUACAUACAGAUGCAAUGAUGCAAUGUUAAUGUUUUGACGUAUCUGUAAAAAUUGUUAUGCUUUUUCAUAGAUUUAUUUUUUUAUAAUACUGCAGUAACUUAAUUGAGUCCCUGAAUGUCAAUAGUCACUAAUUUGGUUUUCAGUAUAAAAUAUUGUAUUUUUUUUUUAUAAUAGUAACUAAAAGCAAGCUAUGAUUUUUUUUAUGUUGUACAUAUACAAUGUUGAUGCUUUGACAUAUCUUUAAAAUUUGUUAUACUUUUUCAUAGAUUUAUUUU
Molecule: long non-coding RNA, 1584 nt
Organism: Saccostrea cuccullata (small rock oyster)
Lineage: Eukaryota; Metazoa; Mollusca; Bivalvia; Ostreida; Ostreidae
Exons: 4
Source: RefSeq, a predicted model, not a curated record